This 283-nucleotide unclassified non-coding RNA is filed under the name Hevea brasiliensis (rubber tree). Lineage: Eukaryota; Viridiplantae; Streptophyta; Magnoliopsida; Malpighiales; Euphorbiaceae. The record is from RNAcentral.
CUCAAAGAACAAAAAAGCUUUAUGCUUUAUCAACCUAUCAUCUUGAAUACAAUUCUCUCUGAUUUUUAACAAUUCGAUUCCUCUGCCUCCUCUGGUUUGUAGAUGCAAGAAAAAAGUGAGUAUUUCUAUCCCUAUGAGUGGUCCAGUUGAUUCUUUAUUUCUGAAACCAAAACGUCUCCUCCAGUUGCCAUAAUUGAUGGAGCUGAGAUUUUGUAGAUUCAAUUUCAUCAUGUAACAUGGCUAGGGAUGUGGAGGAAUGGAGUGCAUCUAGUUUCUUGGAGGG